AUUGAACGCUGGCGGCAGGCCUAACACAUGCAAGUCGAGCGGAUGAAGGGAACUUGUUCCUGGAUUCAGCGGCGGAGGGGGGAGUAAUGCCUAGAAAUCUGCCUCGUAGCGGUGGAUAACGUCCGAAAACGGGCGAUAAUACCGAAUACGGCCUGAGGGAUAGCGUGGGGUGACUUCGUACCUCACGCUAUUACAUCAGCCAAGGUCGGAUUAGCUAGUUGGUGGGGUAAAGGCCCACCAAGGCGACGAUCCGUAACUGGUCUGAGAGGAUGAUCAGUCACACUGGAACUGAGACACGGCCCAGACUCCUACGGGAGGCAGCAGUGGGGAAUAUUGGGCAAUGGGCGAAAGUCUGAUCCAGCAAUGCCGCGUGUGUGAAGAAGGUUUUCGGAUUGUAAAGCUCUGUUAUUAGGGAGGAACGGCAGUAAGUUAAUACCAAGCUGUUUUGACGUUACCAACAGAAUAAGCACCGGCUAACUUCGUG
This 484-nucleotide ribosomal RNA is filed under the name uncultured bacterium. RNAcentral's name for it is "partial 16S ribosomal RNA". It matches the Rfam family "Bacterial small subunit ribosomal RNA", at positions 30 to 507 of the family's 1533-position model. The record is from RNAcentral.